UUUGGGAUGAUGAAACAAAUCAGACGGAUUCCCACUGAUAAAUUCGUUUAUGUGAUUACACAACCAGCUACUUCUGACCCAC
Morus notabilis is the source of this 82-nucleotide non-coding RNA. The record is from Rfam. Lineage: Eukaryota; Viridiplantae; Streptophyta; Magnoliopsida; Rosales; Moraceae.